CGAUUGAACGCUGGCGGAAUGCUUUACACAUGCAAGUCGAACGGCAGCACGGGGCAACCUGGUGGCGAGUGGCGAACGGGUGAGUAAUAUAUCGGAACGUGCCCAAUCGUGGGGGAUAACGUAGCGAAAGUUACGCUAAUACCGCAUACGAUCUACGGAUGAAAGCGGGGGAUCGCAAGACCUCGCGCGAAUGGAGCGGCCGAUAUCAGAUUAGGUAGUUGGUGGGGUAAAGGCUCACCAAGCCAACGAUCUGUAGCUGGUCUGAGAGGACGACCAGCCACACUGGAACUGAGACACGGUCCAGACUCCUACGGGAGGCAGCAGUGGGGAAUUUUGGACAAUGGGCGCAAGCCUGAUCCAGCCAUUCCGCGUGCAGGAUGAAGGCCUUCGGGUUGUAAACUGCUUUUGUACGGAACGAAACGGUCUGCCCUAAUACGGCGGGCUAAUGACGGUACCGUAAGAAUAAGCACCGGCUAACUACGUG
This 484-nucleotide ribosomal RNA is filed under the name uncultured bacterium. RNAcentral's name for it is "bacterial SSU rRNA". It matches the Rfam family "Bacterial small subunit ribosomal RNA", at positions 27 to 507 of the family's 1533-position model. The record is from RNAcentral.